This 465-nucleotide ribosomal RNA is filed under the name uncultured bacterium. RNAcentral's name for it is "partial 16S ribosomal RNA". It matches the Rfam family "Bacterial small subunit ribosomal RNA", at positions 28 to 507 of the family's 1533-position model. The record is from RNAcentral.
GACGAACGCUGGCGGCGUGCUUUACACAUGCAAGUCGAACGGAAAGGCCCUGCUUGCAGGGUACUCGAGUGGCGAACGGGUGAGUAACACGUGGGUGAUCUGCCCUGCACUUCGGGAUAAGCCUGGGAAACUGGGUCUAAUACCGGAUAGGAGCCAUUUUUAGUGUGAUGGUUGGAAAGUUUUUUCGGUGUAGGAUGAGCUCGCGGCCUAUCAGCUUGUUGGUGGGGUAAUGGCCUACCAAGGCGGCGACGGGUAGCCGGCCUGAGAGGGUGGACGGCCACAUUGGGACUGAGAUACGGCCCAGACUCCUACGGGAGGCAGCAGUGGGGAAUAUUGCACAAUGGGCGCAAGCCUGAUGCAGCGACGCCGCGUGGGGGAUGGCGGCCUUCGGGUUGUAAACUCCUUUCGCUAGGGACGAAGCUUUUUGUGACGGUACCUAGAUAAGAAGCACCGGCUAACUACGUG